Molecule: long non-coding RNA, 479 nt
Organism: Zea mays
Lineage: Eukaryota; Viridiplantae; Streptophyta; Magnoliopsida; Poales; Poaceae
Exons: 5
Source: RefSeq, a predicted model, not a curated record
GCACUUACCGAGGUCUAGAUCCAGAUCAUCCUGAAGUUUUAUGUGAUGACAGCGCGACAGAAAAGCUGACUCGUUAUGCCGAGGAGGUUAGGAGGAAAGCAGGAGACGAUGAUCUAGAUUGGAGGGAGGCACCUUUCGAUCCGGAUGCAGCAUAUGUUGCUGGUGGUGGGCUACCACAUGGGAGGUUGGGGAUCGGUGAUGGGGUUGUGAGUCGCGAUAGCUUUGGUUGUCGGUCUGUUUCCUCGGUGGGGAGUAGAUCUCGAACUUCAACUUCGAGGGAAUCAGAGCUUGAUGAGCAACUAAGACAGCAACAACAACAAGUUCAAUAACUAUCUCAACAAGUUCAGAUGAUGCAGGGAAUGCUGAUGCAGAUGUAUAGUGCUCAGAUGGGAUCUCCAAUGGGACCCCAGUUCACCCGUCCGUCACAAUCUGGACAGACCCCAAACACCAACGAAACACAGGGUUCUGAGACCGGACAA